CCUACGGGAGGCAGCAGUGAGGAAUAUUGGUCCAUGGUCGUAAGCCUGAACCAGCCAAGUCGCGUGAGGGAUGAAGGUUCUAUGGAUCGUAAACCUCUUUUAUAAGGGAAUAAAGUGCGGGACGUGUCCCGUUUUGUAUGUACCUUAUGAAUAAGGAUCGGCUAACUCCGUGCCAGCAGCCGCGUUAAUACGGAGGAUCCGAGCGUUAUCCGGAUUUAUUGGGUUUAAAGGGUGCGUAGGCGGGCUUUUAAGUCAGCGGUGAAAGUCUGUGGCUCAACCCUAGAAUUGCCGUUGAAACUGGGAGGCUUGAGUAUGUGUGAGGCAGGCGGAAGGCGUGGUGUAGCGGUGAAAUGCUUAGAUAUCACGCAGAACCCCGAUUGCGAAGGCAGCCGGCCAAGCCAUGACUGACGCUGAUGCACGAAAGCGUGGGUAUCAAACAGGAUUAGAUACCCCAGUAGUC
Molecule: ribosomal RNA, 460 nt
Filed under: uncultured bacterium
Lineage: Bacteria
Description: partial 16S ribosomal RNA
Rfam family: Bacterial small subunit ribosomal RNA
Source: RNAcentral